AUGAAGAGACUUGUGUCAAAGCUGUAUACCUGUUUACAUGUCACCAACAUGUCCAAGGUCAACCACAUGUCUCUUGCUUCUUCCACACAUGUCACUCCUUGUCACCCCACUGUAGUUUCAGUCAAACUUAAACCUGACAUGGUACUAGAAGAUGUGGAGUCAGACAACGAGGGCACCGGGAAGCAUGAAUAUCAGUCUCAAUCUGCGGAACCCUCCCCAUCACUGACUCCAUCGACAUCACACCAACAGCAGGAAGCCUCACUGCAGUCAAGUUCACUGCAGUCCCAGAAGUGCAGUGAUACCAACCCACAAGCAGAACAGUCAGAGAGUGGGACAAAAAUGUCUCAAGAGGAUGCUGAGACCCAGACGGGCCGCUGGACACCGUUCAUUGAGAGCAUUAAAAGGGAGGCAGAAGAUGUAGCUUUGGCUACUAUGGAGGAACGUCUCAUGCAGGAGCGCCUGGAGAUGGCCCGUAUGGCUGAGGAGGUGGCCAGGCAGACAGCUGAGAUGGCCAUUAGACAGAUGGCCAGUGAGGGACAGUCCAUCAAACUCUCACUGGGGAGUCAAGAACUGCUGGAUGAGCCCACAGCUGAGCUGCCGGAACCACAAGAAGAGGAGAGCCAAGUGGUGGACGACUGUAAACUCACACAAGAGGAACAGAGUCUUGCUGAGGAAGAAGUGAAGGAAGUGACUGAGGACUCUAUUGUCGAGGAACCAGAAGCAAAAGAGGAAGCAGAGCCACAGCAGACCUCCCCCUCUCCACCUCCAAGUCCUGAACCAGUUGAGACAGCGGAGCCAGAGCCAGAGCCAGAGCCUGAAUCACAACCUGAGCCAGAGCCAGAGACCAAGGAAGCCAGUCCAGAAGCAGAGCCUAUAACCCAGCAGCCACAGAAAUCUGAGAAAGACGGUCAAAGCCCCAACGCUGACAAAACAUCUGAAAAAGAAGAGGAAGCCACUGGGGAUGACUGUGGAGCUCCAGUCAGCUGUGAUGCAAUUAAGAGCUGCCUGAUGCGCAUUCCGCACACCUCAGAGUGCUUCGGCAACAUCAACGCAUUCUUCAAAGAAAACGGCAUCUCCACUCCCAAAAUACCCUCCAUGCCUAAGCUACCCACCCAGCUCUCUGACGUUACCAAGUACCUACCCUCCCUACCACCUGAAUUGCGCCAAGAGUUCUCCCAGAUCCGACUCACACAGGUCCCGCGAAAUAUUGCCCAAACUCUGACUGAGUUGUUGCCCAAAAGCUCUGAAGGAUCAGUUGGCCCCAGUCUGUCCAGUCUUUCCCAGAGCUUUUCAGACAUCCCGCAGAAGCUCUCCCAGAUUCCUAGCCGGACGCAGCAGUACUUCCUUAACGUCCAGAACCGCCUCAACAGCCUUAUGCCUCAAGAUGCCUAAGAAACAACAACAGCAAAAUCAGCAGAAAGACAAGAAUCAGCACGAUUUAGAGCUCAACCAGCUCAUCCGACACUCCCCUCUCCCUCCUGCUCACCAUCCUCAGCUCCGCUCCCGCUCCCCGUCGCCAUCCUCUCCUAACGGAAGCGCCCUCGAACUGCCAAAUGUGCCAUCCUACCCACGCCUGCCGCCUAUUGUCAGUCCCCCAUCAAAGCAGCUCAACUCACUUUCCCGCCAGCUGUCAGGUCUCUCUAACCCGGCGUUCUUCAUUGAAGACGACUCAGACAUUCCAGCAAUAAGACGUGCAGGUGAAUUUGCAGCAGUGGAGAUCAUGAAAUUCAUUGUAGAAACCUGAACCUGAGCAAAUUGACAGUUGACUCAUAAUGUGUGGUGUCAGGAUAAACUAAAAUGAAAGAACAGCUGAUGCAAACAAAUAAUCAUAUAUAAAGACAUUUUCUAGCUGUAAAUAAUCAACAGAGUUCAGAUGUCAUUGCCAAACAUAUGCCAGUGUGUUCAGGAUCCUGAGCACACUGUCAGGAAAAUAAAAAGGUAGCAGUUCAGUGCUGUGAUUAUAGAUUUUAGUGUUUGUGUUGUCUCUUCUGUAAUUUCUAAGAUAUAAGCUCAGAUACAGACAGCUCAUUUGUUUAAUGAGUAAGAAAAAGCAGUGUAUAUGCAAAUUCUCAAUUUGUCAAGGAAAAAGAUGAAUAAGAAACUUUUUUUUACAGAGUUUAAAAGUUUAAAAAUGUAUACUACAGCUGAACCACUCUCCACAAACUAUGUUACUGUAAAAUACUGUAAUGUAUGUUAGUGUGCUAGUGCACAGCGAGUCAGAUUAGCCCGACUGAAAAACUUGCCAGAUGAGAAGGCUAGUCCUCUCAGCUGCCAGGGCACUCAUAUACAUGGCCUAGUUUACUGGUGGAUCCUCCUGCAUUAGCCUGAUGUACAUCCCGCCAAAUCUUCUUCCCCCUCUCACUGUCCUGCCCUGGUCAACUUAUCUGUGACCUGCUUUGCCCCUUGCUGUGUGCUGUACUGCAGCUCCACUUGUCCCAACGCAUCCACAUCAUCUGUGAUGUUUUUCAUUAAUCAAUGGACAUUUGAUGCCUUUUAUCCUCCAGACAGCUCAAGCAUAAGCCUUCGUCCAGCCGUCAAUGUAGAGGAUGUUGACUCAGAUCAUGAGAUAGGGGGGAGAGGAAGAGGAGGGGAGGGACAGAGCAAUGUUCCCCAAAUCCUAACCCCACAGGACCCAAAACUUACAACCCUAACUGUCCCCGUGACCCCUUCAGGAGGUCGUCAAAGGUGAGAAAUACUAUCACGAUUAGUUUAUGUAUUCUGCCAUUGAAUAAGUAGUAGUAUUAAGUAUAAGGGUAAUUAAACACUCCAGUUUAACUGGGUGUCCAUUACAUUUUGUUAUAUCUGUUUCUCUCCCUCAUGCUUUUCAUCUACAGUAAAGGAGAAAAAGAGUAAGGAAGCUGCAUGGAUUGUUUGGGUUGCUGUGCUUUAAAUCUUCUGUCAACAAUAAUUAUAUGCUUUCUCUCUGGUGAAUAUGCACCCAUGAUAAAGCAUUUCACAAGGGAGAAAGUAAUGCAUUAUGUGGGUUAGGUCAAGUUGCAAGUUGUUGGCAAGUGGAGUGGUUUCUUCCAAAUGAGAUCAAUAUGACAUUGACAGUUGGCAAAACACAAUAUGUAUUGAUUCUAGAGAUCAAAACUUUUUUAAAUAAUAUACAAUACAUUUCAUUGGUAGAGAUGUGUUUGAUGGUUUUUACUGGAUUUUUAAAUGUAUCAUUUUGGAGUGAAACUCUUCACAAACCUCUGUUUAGUGCUAUUUGAAAUGGAUCUGCUGCCCCCUACUGUCUGCUGUACAUCACAGUAGAAGCAAUGUGUUGGUCUGUCUGUAUUUCAGUGUCCUGCAAAGACUGUGUUGCUUAGAAAAAAUUUAAAUUCCAUCCAAUUUGCUGCCAAAAUAACCUACACAAGCAAACAAGCACAUAGUGUUAUGCAGAACACAGACAGUUUGUUAUAUGAAUAAUUGUCGAGUGUUUCUUCUUCUGUGUUGUGGUGUUCUGUUUUGCAUGAACUGUUCACUUUUGCAUGGCUUUUUAUUGCUUUUGGCUGCUGUAUGGUUAUUGUCAUAACGUAGCAAAAGUCAAUAAACAGAUGCUCGCAAUCUUGCACUUCUUGCCUAUCUUCGCUUUUUAUCAGUGUCUUGAAUUUUAAUAUCAUGCUAUUACUGGCACACACGUAAACCCUGUCCCUCACUGUCCCUCUCUCAUAAACACACACACACACACUCACUUUAAACCUUGCUCUCACCAUCCACAACUAUAGUGGAAGGAAUCGUAGGACUAUCUGGACAAAGAUGUAAGAUAUCUGACCUUUAUUAAUACUGUAUUGACUCAUCUAAUAUACAUCUAUCUCCGUAUCCACACAUCAUGCUGACAAGUCAAUAUUUCCUUUCCUUCAUAUUAUCCUUCACCAUUCUUUGACCCAUUUGAAUUCACCAGUCUUUGCUUGUUCACUCAUUAAACCAUCAUUUUCAGUGCUCAUUAUUUUGCAUUAAUCACAAUCAUAAAGACGUUAUAACAUUUAUAAUUUUUAACAGUAACUGAUGUAAAGUAAAGCCACAUCACAUUCAACUAAAAUUUUGUCUCAAAUUUGAACCAUUGACAUUGCUGUGUUUACUUAACUUCAACAGUAGGAGGCUGCACUCCCAAAGUGAGGACGAUGAUGAUGAAGCAAACAUCCCUGUCAGAGCCUGGCCCAGCCAGUCCAGCCUGCACAGCACAGAUGACAUGUGAGCACUGUGCACAUACACAAACAAAUAAAGUGUGAGUUCUGUUAUUUAGCUGUUGGCAUGUAAUGAUAUACUGACAUUUUUUCAAAGACUUAAAGAGCGUCCAGCGUCUUCAGCUAGUCAGACCAGUACAGUGGUCAACGAGCGUCUUCAGGAGCUGGUCCGGAUGUUUAAAGAGAGAACCGAGAAGGCUAAGGAGAAACUCAUUGACCCUGACAGCUCAGAUGAAGACAGCAUUAUCCCAUGUGAGUCUCUACACAUACACACACCCAGACACUGAGCUGGUACAUCAGCACGAAACCAGUGGAACCCGUCAGGAAUAUAUGAAUGAUAGUCGUUGUAGAUUGCAGCAGCUGUGUUUUUUAGUAUAUUCUUUAUUUUCAGGUUAAGAGUCAGCCUUGUCCAGCCGUGAAAAUGUCUACUCGUUAAAGUCAUACCUACACCUUGUGUGUCAUCUGCU
Molecule: long non-coding RNA, 4639 nt
Filed under: Sparus aurata (gilthead seabream)
Lineage: Eukaryota; Metazoa; Chordata; Actinopteri; Spariformes; Sparidae
Description: lncRNA (ENSSAUG00010009520.1)
Source: RNAcentral